RNAcentral lists this small nuclear RNA (104 nucleotides) under Castor canadensis (American beaver). The record is from RNAcentral. Lineage: Eukaryota; Metazoa; Chordata; Mammalia; Rodentia; Castoridae.
AUGCUCGCUUCAGCAGCACAUAUGCAAAAAUUGGAACAAUACAGAGAUUAGCAUGGCCCCUAUGCAAGGAUGACAUACAAAACCAUGAAACAUUCCAUGUGAAU